CUGGAGCUCGCCUUCAGUGGCACUCAGAGCUGCCUGGCAGAGAGAAUCCAGCCGCCACCACCACCGGGAAUGGCGUCUUCUGCAUCCUCGGCUGCCUGGAGAGGCUAACGAGCCUGAAGCCACAGAGUGCAGAGAUCUGGUGUGUAAAGAAGCCUUUUCACUUUGCCCUCCCCAUGCAUGGGGGUCUCCCUUUGACCCAUGGGUGAAGCUGAAGAGCUCCUGAGCCCUGUCCUCCGCCUGGCACCCCAUCAGCUCUCCAACAAAUGCAGCGGAGAUGACUGGACGGCAACUCUACAACACCAACAACUACCAUCAUCUUUGCAGUAGAAUGGGGAGGACGUGCUUUCACGAUCUCCAUUUUGCAGUUGAGGGCUUGAAUUGCGCCAGCAGAGCAUAAAUCUGGCCAUCUUGGCAUUUUCUGCGUCAGGCUUCGAAUCCUGGUCUUGAUCACACGGGCAGUGUUUGUCCAUUGGGCCACGUCACCGACACCUACUUACAUAGAAAGGUCUAAGUAAAUACGAAUCUUUUCUCCUUUUUUCAUUCUUUCAUUGAUUUACAUACCAGAAGAUUAAUAAAAGUUUAUCAAAUUAAAUUCCGAACUUCCCUAGGAUGGCUCUGCCUUAGAUGCCUCACAUUUCAGACUUUUAUUAUAGAUGUUUGAUGCAAUAUCCCUUCCUCUAAUUAGAAGGGCAUUGCCACUAUUUCUGUAAAAUUGGCUUUGUUCUAAGAGAUUCCAUCCCUUUCAUCUUCAUUCCUCUCUACUUUACAUUUCGUUAUGAAUUCUGCCUAUAACCGUAAUUGUGAACCAUAUUUUCCUUCCAUUCAUUAAUAAAAAUGGCUUUUAUGUA
Long non-coding RNA from Monodelphis domestica (gray short-tailed opossum), 848 nucleotides. RefSeq lists it as uncharacterized. The record is from RefSeq and is a predicted model, not a curated record. Lineage: Eukaryota; Metazoa; Chordata; Mammalia; Didelphimorphia; Didelphidae.